UGCUGAGCCAGUUGGAGCUGGUACAUUUUAAUUACUUGCUGUCUUCACUGGAGUGCUGCAAGCUCGAAGUGUGAUCCUUAGUAGCUGUUAUUCAAUACCAUAUGCUCUUAAGGACAACGCCCUGAUGUCCAAGGUCAAUCAGCAAGAAGCUGAGAAGGCACUGUCAAAAUGGUUCACUGGGGCAAGGGACAGAGGAGGACAGAGAGCAUCAAGAAUGCAGAAAAGGAUGUCUGUUUGAGAAAGGUUAUAACUACAGUUGCUGAUUUGAACUGUCAUAGUUCUUUUAUUUUUCUUAAAGGAAAACCUUUUUCAAUAUUUUACCAUGUUCUUCCCUCAACUUAGAUGAAUUAAUACAUACCUCUA
This is a non-coding RNA of Paramisgurnus dabryanus, 363 nucleotides long. NCBI's taxonomy places the organism in Eukaryota, Metazoa, Chordata, Actinopteri, Cypriniformes, Cobitidae. The record is from RefSeq and is a predicted model, not a curated record.